UGGGUCGGCUGGACGGUCGCGUCGCGGGCAACCGCGCCGAGGAACGUCCGGGCUCCGUAGGGCAGGGCGGUGGGUAACACCCACCCGGAGCAAUCCGCGAGACAGUGCCACAGAGAGCAGACCGCCCGGGCUUCGGCCCGGGUAAGGGUGAAAGGGUGGUGUAAGAGACCACCGGGGUCGUGGUGACACGACCCGCAAGGUAAACCUCGUCCGGAGCAAGGCCAGACAGGGGAUGAUGACGCGGCUCGCCGAGUCCCCGGGUAGGCCGCUGGAGCGGCACGGCAACGUGUCGCCGAGAGAGAUGACCGUCCACGGGGCGAAAGCCCCCGGACAGAACCCGGCGUACAGGCCGGCCCAUUCG
RNAcentral lists this RNase P RNA (361 nucleotides) under Microbacterium sp. SORGH_AS_0862. RNAcentral's name for it is "RNase P class A". It matches the Rfam family "Bacterial RNase P class A". From Rfam's summary of the family: Ribonuclease P (RNase P) is a ubiquitous endoribonuclease, found in archaea, bacteria and eukarya as well as chloroplasts and mitochondria. Its best characterised activity is the generation of mature 5'-ends of tRNAs by cleaving the 5'-leader elements of precursor-tRNAs. The record is from RNAcentral. Lineage: Bacteria; Bacillati; Actinomycetota; Actinomycetes; Micrococcales; Microbacteriaceae.